UACGGAAGGUGCGAGCGUUAAUCGGAAUUACUGGGCGUAAAGCGCACGUAGGUGGUUUUAUAAGUCGGAUGUGAAAGCCCCGGGCUUAACCUGGGAAUUGCAUCUGAUACUGUCUGACUAGAGUAUGCUAGAGGGAAGUGGAAUUCCAGGUGUAGCGGUGAAAUGCGUAGAUAUCUGGAGGAACACCAAUGGCGAAGGCAACUUCCUGGGGCAAUACUGACACUGAUGUGCGAAAGCGUGGGGAGCAAACAGGAUUAGAAACCCCAGUAGUCC
RNAcentral lists this ribosomal RNA (273 nucleotides) under uncultured bacterium. RNAcentral's name for it is "partial 16S ribosomal RNA". It matches the Rfam family "Bacterial small subunit ribosomal RNA", at positions 524 to 796 of the family's 1533-position model. The record is from RNAcentral.